Molecule: ribosomal RNA, 464 nt
Filed under: Vreelandella stevensii
Lineage: Bacteria; Pseudomonadati; Pseudomonadota; Gammaproteobacteria; Oceanospirillales; Halomonadaceae
Description: partial 16S ribosomal RNA
Rfam family: Bacterial small subunit ribosomal RNA
Source: RNAcentral
CCUAGGGAGGCUGCAGUGGGGAAUAUUUGACAAUGGGCGAAAGCCUGAUCCAGCCAUGCCGCGUGUGUGAAGAAGGCCUUCGGGUUGUAAAGCACUUUCAGUGGGGAAGAAAGCCUUGGGGCUAAUACCCUCGAGGAAGGACAUCACCCACAGAAGAAGCACCGGCUAACUCCGUGCCAGCAGCCGCGGUAAUACGGAGGGUGCGAGCGUUAAUCGGAAUUACUGGGCGUAAAGCGCGCGUAGGCGGUCUGAUAAGCCGGUUGUGAAAGCCCCGGGCUCAACCUGGGAACGGCAUCCGGAACUGUCAGGCUAGAGUGCAGGAGAGGAAGGUAGAAUUCCCGGUGUAGCGGUGAAAUGCGUAGAGAUCGGGAGGAAUACCAGUGGCGAAGGCGGCCUUCUGGACUGACACUGACGCUGAGGUGCGAAAGCGUGGGUAGCAAACAGGAUUAGAUACCCCUGUAGUC